This is a non-coding RNA of Anas platyrhynchos (mallard), 947 nucleotides long. NCBI's taxonomy places the organism in Eukaryota, Metazoa, Chordata, Aves, Anseriformes, Anatidae. The record is from RefSeq and is a predicted model, not a curated record.
UGUGCAAGUACAGAGGCAUAGAGGCACUGUCUGCAGUUGGGCUGGCUUAUGCCAUGAGACAAGUAAUGUGCAGAAUCGUGUUUGCAUUUAGAGUUUGGUGGUUUUAAUUCUGCUUUUAGUUAGAUACCGAUUGUCCUUUAAAGAGGUACACCAGGGAAGAGAAUUUGAAGGUAAUAAUAGAUAUGUUGUUGUCAUUUGGUUGAAAUUUUUAAAAUUACGUGGGUGACUUUUCUGGUACGUCGAGUUACUUAAUCCCAUGUCUUGAUAGGUUGCCAUCAGUAGCACAAAACCUGCAGUUGUUACUGAUGUCUGUAGAAAAAGUUUUGAAUGCCUGUUAGUGAAUUAGGUCAGUUAGGUUAGUUAAUCUCUUGAUAGUUGGAAUUAGGUGUUAAAUCUGGAUCUAAUGAGCUUAAGUUGACCUUUUGUGUCCAUAAAUAUGGUGUUACAAGAAAUCUUGAUUUGUUGCGCCACAAAUACUUUUUUUUCUUUAUGCAAAUACAUAAUGCAUGCUUUUUAAUACUUUCCCUAUAGGAACAUUGACCUCCAUCCUGAAGAAGACAUCACUUCCACGAUACUUUGACAUAGUCCCCUGGAAAUGAAGCAAGAGUCUACUAGAAAUGCUGCUUACACGGUGGACUGUGAAGUCAGCAGAACGCUGAGGACCAGAGCUGAUGCAAUAGCUGCAAGGCAAGUGCGUGGAGAAAAUGGGAAUUUGGAGCCGAAGCUGCAGACUUUGAGGAAGUCGCUACCCUACUACAAAUCCAUCCUUUCUGUUUGACAGCCUUAGAAGAAAAACAGAAGCCCUUGGCUGCCCAGAGCUCUCAACUCGACAAGGAGAAGCCCUGCUGCACUGCAGAGCCCAGAAGACAGCCCUCCAUAACCCAGAGGAGCAGAGAGAGGGGAAGGCCCGGCGUGAGUGCUGCCCACAGCCCUGGGCCAAAGGGCAG